GACGAGCGCUGGCGGCGUGCUUAACACAUGCAAGUCGUACGGUAAGGCCCUUUCGGGGGUACACGAGUGGCGAACGGGUGAGUAACACGUGAGUAACCUGCCCACAACUUUGGGAUAACGCUAGGAAACUGGUGCUAAUACUGGAUAUGUGCCCCUGCUGCAUGGUGGGGGUUGGAAAGCUCCGGCGGUUGUGGAUGGACUCGCGGCCUAUCAGCUUGUUGGUGGGGUAGUGGCCUACCAAGGCGGCGACGGGUAGCCGGCCUGAGAGGGUGACCGGCCACAUUGGGACUGAGAUACGGCCCAGACUCCUACGGGAGGCAGCAGUGGGGAAUAUUGCACAAUGGGCGCAAGCCUGAUGCAGCAACGCCGCGUGCGGGAUGACGGCCUUCGGGUUGUAAACCGCUUUCAGCAGGGACGAAGCUUUUUGUGACGGUACCUGCAGAAGAAGCACCGGCUAACUACGUG
This 465-nucleotide ribosomal RNA is filed under the name uncultured bacterium. RNAcentral's name for it is "partial 16S ribosomal RNA". It matches the Rfam family "Bacterial small subunit ribosomal RNA", at positions 28 to 507 of the family's 1533-position model. The record is from RNAcentral.